RNAcentral lists this ribosomal RNA (101 nucleotides) under uncultured bacterium. Its description in RNAcentral is "partial 16S ribosomal RNA". The record is from RNAcentral.
CGGAUACGUAAAGUUCUGUUGGAAAGGGGAAAAAGAGCGGAGAGAGGAAAUGGUCUCCGAUUGAUAUUACCCUUCGAGGAAGUCACGGCUAACUACGUGCC